CAGUAGCCACGGGAAUACGGAGGGUGCAAGCGUUAAUCGGAAUUACUGGGCGUAAAGCGCACGCAGGCGGUCUGACAAGUCAGAUGUGAAAUCCCCGGGCUUAACCUGGGAACUGCAUUUGAAACUGUCAGGCUGGAGUCUUGUAGAGGGGGGUGGAAUUCCAGGUGUAGCGGUGAAAUGCGUAGAGAUCUGGAGGAAUACCGGUGGCGAAGGCGGCCCCCUGGACAAAGACUGACGCUUAGGUGCGAAAGCGUGGGGAGCAAACAGGAUUAGAUACCCGCGUAGUCCCUGUCUCUUAUAC
RNAcentral lists this ribosomal RNA (301 nucleotides) under uncultured bacterium. Its description in RNAcentral is "partial 16S ribosomal RNA". It matches the Rfam family "Bacterial small subunit ribosomal RNA", at positions 509 to 807 of the family's 1533-position model. The record is from RNAcentral.